UACGGAGGGAGCAAGCGUUGUCCGGAAUCAUUGGGCGGAAAGCGCGCGUAGGUGGCCCAGUAAGGCCGCUCUGAAAGUCAAAGGCUCAACCUUUGAAAGCGGGUGGAUACUGCUGGGCUAGAGUCCGGAAGAGGCGAGUGGAAUUCCUGGUGUAGCGGUGGAAUGCGCAGAUAUCAGGAGGAACACCAACGGCGAAGGCAGCUCGCUGGGACGGUACUGACACUGAGGCGCGAAAGCGUGGGGAGCAAACAGG
RNAcentral lists this ribosomal RNA (253 nucleotides) under uncultured bacterium. RNAcentral's name for it is "partial 16S ribosomal RNA". It matches the Rfam family "Bacterial small subunit ribosomal RNA", at positions 524 to 776 of the family's 1533-position model. The record is from RNAcentral.